Molecule: long non-coding RNA, 3983 nt
Organism: Xenopus laevis (African clawed frog)
Lineage: Eukaryota; Metazoa; Chordata; Amphibia; Anura; Pipidae
Exons: 3
Source: RefSeq, a predicted model, not a curated record
AAUCGUAAUUUUUUCGAUCGUUCGAAUCCCACUGACUGCACGAUAAUUUCGAAAGAUUGGUCGGACUUCGCUAAAAUCGGUCGUUCGGCAAGAGAAAUCUUUGCGUCAAUGGGGACCUUAAGCAGUUCUAUGGCAUUUAAGACAGAUGCAUAUCAACAGCUUAUCUAAUUGUCUGAAAGUUUCAACUGGCCCUUUAUAAGUCUAAGUAGGGACAUAAAAAUCCAGUUGGUAUUUCUAUACAAUUGAUUAUAAUGCUUGUAUUUGUAUUUGCUUGUAAAAAUUGUAUUUGCUUCUGAAUCACUUGAAUAAAAAUAAACCAGUUUUAGGAGUGGAUGUUGCCAUAUGGGAUCGCAAGGGACUCAAGCUCAUAUUGCAUAACAAUUAAAAAUGCAUCUUAAAUGUAUGAGCAAGGUUUACAUUCACUUUAUCUUUAUGUCUAUGCUUAGUGAGUGACAUGGGAUAUUCUGUACAGGAAACUCUACACCUGUUCACAACUGACAAAAUAUAACUAAAUGUUAAAGAAAACAUUUAGUUGCAGAUAAUACAGCAACAUGUAUUAAGUGAUUUGUCAUUUCGGUGAUACUAGCCCUUUAAAAACCUAGUAACAGUGUAACAUAAGGAAAACACAGAAAACAUCUGCGGCAGCACCUUUUAUGUGAACUAAUCAAUCCAUUUUAUUUUUGCUUGUUCAAUGCACUGAUAGAGAGAGAGAGAGAGAGAGAGAGAGAGAGAGAGAGAGAGAGAGAGAGAGAGAGAGAGAGGUUUCCGGCACUUCAUUCAAUGAAGGUGAAAUUUAUUUUUCAAAAACAUGAAAGAAUAUAGAAGAGCUUUAAGCUGUUAGAAUGAAAAUAUUUCCCAUUUGGCAUUUUGUCACCAUAGAAACAGUGAAAAACAAGUACUAUGUUUUUUUCUCCUCUGCUCCUGAAUUUAACAGCAAUUGGGACACUGGAGUAAGAACUCACUGCGGAGGCCAUCACAGAUAUUUAUCUUCAGUCCUCCUACAUUAUGGAUAGACAUCCAGGCUCACCUUCAUAACGAUCAAUAUUGUAAGGAUGAUCGUAUAAUUUUUUGUGGCCUGUAAAAUCCAAUUUCUGCAUUAUAUUUUCUUGAUUAUUUAAAGGGGUUGUUCACCUUUAAAAAAACUUUUAGUAUGAUGUAGAGAGUGAUGUUCUGAGACAUCUUAAACAAUCUGGUAACUAGGGUCCAAAUUACCUUAGCAACCAUGCAUUGAUUUGACUGGAAUAUGAAUAGGAGAGGGCCGGAAUAGAAGGAUCAGUAAUAAAAAGCAACGAUAACGGGGGGCGUGACCGGAUGUCGUUAUGAACAGACAUAGGAGUCAGCAGCUCCCGUCUUCGACCAGCAUUUAAUUAGCUUUUUUUUGCAUAAAGACUGGUAAACCGCUUAUAAUGGGCAAGGAUGCCAAGAAGAAACCUUACCCUCCCAAGCAGACGUCCCUGGUAAAGGUAAAACUCCCUUCAGUGUCGUCUUUAUUUGAGAAGCCGGAGGGGCCUAGUUCGCAACGCUCCAAGAUGUGCUCCAAGAUGCACCACAUCGUAGCCCAAGCCCGACUGACUCCACGAGUAGCUCUACACAGCGCUUCCAGCAGCAUGACAUUCGUGAGCUCCUCACAGCCUUACCGACUAAGUUGGAUCUGUUAGAAAUGGCUAAAAAUAUUAAAGCUGUGCAACUGAUCGAAUUGGCUGUGAUUAAAGACGAAUUGAAAGACAUUGGCGCGAAAAUGGAAGAGAUCAAUUUGCAGCUCCAGACCCACACGCAAGGGAUUAAUAAAGCUACAAAAUGGGUAAAUUCACACCACAAAUAUAUAUAUUUAUUGAGGCGGCACAUGGAGGACAUGGAUAACAGGGGGCGCCGAAACAACCAUCCCUGAGUCCAUUAAACAGCUUGAUCUAGAGCAGGCACUAUGUGAGAUUUUUAACCCACUGCUUGACAAACCGCCCCACACAGCGAUUGAUUUUGAUCGUGCACACAGAGCAAUGCUUCACUUAGAGGGGAACAGCCAAGAGACGUCAUUUGCCACAAACUGAAGGAGGAAAUCCUCAAGAAGACUAGAGCUGAGGUGCAAAUUUCGUAUGAGGGGCAUAAAAUAGAAAUUUAUCAGGACCUCUUACAGACGAAGAAUGGGAGCUCAUAGUGACAAAGUCGUAUACGUCUACUAGAUGUUCCAGACUGUUGGAAAAUAAUUACAAGAUGCUCUCCCGUUGGUACAGAGUACCAAUCAUUUUAUCUAAGAUUUUUCCCAAUGUCCCUCAAAAAUGUACCUUAAAGCCAAUGCACUUUUGAGUUAUCCCAACCUUGGAUUGCACCAGUCAGGGGUGUCCUGCACAAACUGGCAACAUUUGGAGUUAUGUAAGUUUUCAAGUGAGUUGCAUGGUACAUGGCUGCCUAGGAAGCAGUGCAAUCCACAGUGUGCAUUUGUUGCAAUGUGUUCCAAAUGUGACCAAAGUGGUAACUCUGUACUCCAUUGAACAAUGUGUUCUUUGCUAUACAUAAUAGCCUUAGAACAUAUUAUAUAUCCUGUUUUCACAAGUAUAGCUUGACAGCAUAUUAUAGGCCAUCAUACAGUGUCUAUCCUGAGUUUUUCAGACCUGUUAUAAUGCUUCACCAACAGAUACUGCUUUCUGUAUAUUCUAACAGCAACACAGGUGGCUAAGUACAGUAAUAGUAAGUCUGACAGAUCCACCUCCAUUGCUGUUUGCAUAGUCACAUAAUAUUUUUUUUUUUGCAUAUUUCUUGUACUUUUACUUUAGACUUGGUUUCCAUACUGCCAGCAUUGUAACUGGUUCUUUGUGUUGCAGAAAAGAACAGGCGGAUUAUCCGUUUCUGGGGGGGGGGGGGAAAUAACAUUUUUGUUUUUCAAACAACAGUUGUAUUCUAUUCAAAUCCAAAUGAGACAGGAUUAUCUUGGUGUUUGCUCACUUGGUCCACAAAUUCCUUUUUAUUACUAAUUACCAUUCCCCUUUAACAUCCAGAUGAAAAAAAGUAGCUAUGAAAUCAUUUACAGUUGGCUGCAUGGAGAAACACCGGCUGCACUAACUGAACUGAAGUUUUCUAUGCUGUCUUCGACUCUCGGAUAUGAAGUUGAUCAUUGAAUCAUUAUUCCUUUAAACUUUCUACCACUGACUGACUUUUAAAUGCAAAACAUAAAGCCAUUUUAAUGAAAAACUCAUACAGGGUGAUGGCAGAGAUAUUGCACAGCACAGAGUACGAGGAGAGAUGUGUCCUGCAAAUGCUUUCUUUUGUUAUUCAUGAAUUUCUGGAAGAGGGUGGGGGAGUUUGGAUAUUGUUUUUGUGUUGGGGUGGUAUAAAGGCCAUAUGGACAAAAACAAGACUUUAUAAGUUUGGCCUUGACAAUUGGUGGUUUGGCAGAGGGUUUUGGACUGUUGCCUAUGGACAGAGGGAUGGACUCUGUGGGCAGGAGGGUGUAUGGGUGGGUUUGUGGCAUUUUGAUUUGCUUGUUGAAUUAAUGUUAGUGUAAUUUUAUAAUAAAAAUCUUUAAUAACCAUCUGCCUCACUCUAUAUAUCUGUAUAGAUAGAAAUAUCUAUAAUAUUAUUAUAAUAUAUAUUUUUGUACCUCCCCCCUCUCCUGCUUCUGUCCUGUAUCCCCCUCAUUGCUUAUUUUUGGAUGACUCUUAUCUUUUAACCCUUCUGUGAUUCUGGAAACAAAGCAGCUUUCCCAUAAAAUAGAAAUAGAAUGUAUAAACAUAGAUUCUAUACUAGUGACAUUUUGUUGUGCACAGCCUCUUCCUGCUGUUGUUACUCUACUUUAUGUACAGUAGAACCCCCAUUUUACAUUUUUCAAAUGGUGUAAGUCAGGGAAAUGUAUUAUGCAUUAUAUAUUGGCAGAACCACAAAAAUGCUAUAACAAAUGGAAAAAACUUUAAAUUAGGGUAUGUAAAAUGGAGACGUCACUGUAUGUAUCCAGCUGUAACUAGAACUCUAGGGGGGAAUAACAUUCUACAAAC